RNAcentral lists this ribosomal RNA (395 nucleotides) under uncultured bacterium. Its description in RNAcentral is "partial 16S ribosomal RNA". It matches the Rfam family "Bacterial small subunit ribosomal RNA", at positions 523 to 918 of the family's 1533-position model. The record is from RNAcentral.
AUACGUAGGGUGCAAGCGUUAAUCGGAAUUACUGGGCGUAAAGCGUGCGCAGGCGGUUUUGUAAGACAGAGGUGAAAUCCCCGGGCUCAACCUGGGAACUGCCUUUGUGACUGCAAGGCUAGAGUACGGCAGAGGGGGAUGGAAUUCCGCGUGUAGCAGUGAAAUGCGUAGAUAUGCGGAGGAACACCGAUGGCGAAGGCAAUCCCCUGGGCCUGUACUGACGCUCAUGCACGAAAGCGUGGGGAGCAAACAGGAUUAGAUACCCUGGUAGUCCACGCCCUAAACGAUGUCAACUGGUUGUUGGGUCUUCAUUGACUCAGUAACGAAGCUAACGCGUGAAGUUGACCGCCUGGGGAGUACGGCCGCAAGGUUAAAACUCAAAUGAAUUGGCGGGG